UACGUAGGGUGCAAGCGUUUGUCCGGAAUUAUUGGGCGUAAAGAGCUCGUAGGCGGUUUGUCGCGUCUGCUGUGAAAACCCGAGGCUCAACCUCGGGCCUGCAGUGGGUACGGGCAGACUAGAGUGUGGUAGGGGAGACUGGAAUUCCAGGUGUAGCGGUGAAAUGCGUGAGAUAUCUGGAGGAACACCGGUGGCGAAGGGCGGCAUCCUGGACCGAUAUUGACGGCUGAUGCGCGAAAGCCAGGGGAGCAAACGGG
This 257-nucleotide ribosomal RNA is filed under the name uncultured bacterium. Its description in RNAcentral is "partial 16S ribosomal RNA". It matches the Rfam family "Bacterial small subunit ribosomal RNA", at positions 524 to 776 of the family's 1533-position model. The record is from RNAcentral.